UUUCUUUCUUUUGCUCUUAUUUGUCAUAUGUUGUUAAAGCAAUGUUUUCUUUAUAAAGUUUGUUUUCUCAAGUUUCUGUGCCAUUUUACUAUCUACAUGAGUGUAUUUUUUUAUUUUAUAAGAGCUUUGAACACUUCAGUGGUGUUUUAUCAUUUUAGAAAAGAAAACAUUAAAGCACAAUAGUUUUCCCAAACAAAUCUUCUUACCUUUGUUAGAAGACCAUUAUUUCCUAAUCCAGUAAAGGUGUUUCGCCCUGCUGAACAGAAGUAAGGUGUCGUUUUCAUUCAGGUUAAAAUAAAGGCAGAAAGGUUGGCUGUGGCUGAAUCUACUCGACUCUCAUAUUUGGUACACAAGUUCAAGAUGCAUCUUUUGGACUUUUGAUGUGUUAAAAUAGUUUGCUUACAUAGCAACCUAAAAAGCUGAGUGAACAAACCAUGAACAGGAAAUGCGGAGCUUUCAAUCAUUAAUUCAACUAAUUAUUUUGCAUCACAUCAGAUAUUGCUUUAUGAUGAUACUGUUUUGUUUUUCUUAUUAUUGUAGCCUCAUAAGUUUCUCUUUGUAUUUGGUUUGGGGUUUGUUUUUUUAAUUUUUGGCUAUUGUCCUUAUUUUACUUUGAAAGUUGUUUUUUUCAUAUAUCUGACUAUGAGUUUGACUUCCUCUUCUGUGGUUGUGUUUCUUUUCUGCCAGUGUUUCUAGUUUUUCUCAAGUUCCUUAUCUUCCCUGAUUACCCUGUGUGUAUAAAUAGUCCUGUCCUUCUCCUCAGUAUUUCUUGUAGUUGCUAUAUAUCCACCCUGUGUGCUCCUUGUUUUUCUCUCACUCCCUAUGGAUUUUUUUUUUUUUUUUGUCUGCCUUUAAGUCCUGCAUUUAGGGAUUAUAUCCACAGCACAUGACAGUCAUGCGUCUUACACGGAAAAUAUAUCAACUUUAUCCAUAGAAGAAUAUAAAGUUGAUAUAUUAGGUAAAUAUCAAUGGAUGAAUAUUCUUACUUUUGGUGUGGUUGUUGUUGAUGCUGUUGUUGUUUUAAAAAAACAACAACAACAAAAACAAACAACUUUAGAUGUAGACAGUUUUUAAAAGUUUUGUUCAAAAUAGUCAAAAUAGUCAGAAAUGUCAGUGGUGUUUACUUAUUUACUCAGUGCAGAUGCAUUAAGACUUGUG
Astatotilapia calliptera (eastern happy) is the source of this 1158-nucleotide long non-coding RNA. Lineage: Eukaryota; Metazoa; Chordata; Actinopteri; Cichliformes; Cichlidae. The record is from Ensembl.